Molecule: unclassified non-coding RNA, 379 nt
Filed under: plant metagenome
Description: partial contains 5.8S ribosomal RNA, internal transcribed spacer 2, and large subunit ribosomal RNA
Rfam family: 5.8S ribosomal RNA (bases 1-106)
Source: RNAcentral
CGAAAUGCGAUAAGUAAUGUGAAUUGCAGAAUUCAGUGAAUCAUCGAAUCUUUGAACGCACCUUGCGCUCCUUGGUAUUCCUUGGAGCAUGCCUGUUUGAGUAUCAUGAAAUCUUCAAAGUAAAUCUUUUGUUAACUCAAUUGGUUUCUACUUUGGUAUUGGAGGUCUUUGCAGCUUCACACCUGCUCCUCUUUGUUCAUUAGCUGGAUCUCAGUGUUAUGCUUGGUUCCACUCGGCGUGAUAAGUUAUCUAUCGCUGAGGACACUGUAAAAGGUGGCCAAGGUAAAUGCAGAUGAACCGCUUCUAAUAGUCCAUUGACUUGGACAAUAAUUUUAUGAUCUGAUCUCAAAUCAGGUAGGACUACCCGCUGAACUUAAGC